RNAcentral lists this ribosomal RNA (491 nucleotides) under uncultured bacterium. RNAcentral's name for it is "partial 16S ribosomal RNA". It matches the Rfam family "Bacterial small subunit ribosomal RNA", at positions 28 to 507 of the family's 1533-position model. The record is from RNAcentral.
GAUGAACGCUGGCUACAGGCUUAACACAUGCAAGUCGAGGGGAAACGACGGGGAAGCUUGCUUCCCCGGGCGUCGACCGGCGCACGGGUGAGUAACGCGUAUCCAACCUGCCUCUGACUGAGGGAUAACCCGUCGAAAGUCGGCCUAAUACCUCAUGGUAUCGCCUGCGGGCAUCCAACGACGAUUAAAGAUUUCAUCGGUCAGGGAUGGGGAUGCGUCUGAUUAGCUUGUUGGCGGGGUAACGGCCCACCAAGGCUACGAUCAGUAGGGGUUCUGAGAGGAAGGUCCCCCACAUUGGAACUGAGACACGGUCCAAACUCCUACGGGAGGCAGCAGUGAGGAAGAUUGGUCAAUGGGCGAGAGCCUGAACCAGCCAAGUAGCGUGCAGGAAGACGGCCCUAUGGGUUGUAAACUGCUUUUAUGCGGGGAUAAAGUGAGGGACGUGUCCCUCAUUGCAGGUACCGCAUGAAUAAGGACCGGCUAAUUCCGUG